Long non-coding RNA from Sinocyclocheilus grahami, 503 nucleotides. RefSeq lists it as uncharacterized. The record is from RefSeq and is a predicted model, not a curated record. The transcript has 3 exons. NCBI's taxonomy places the organism in Eukaryota, Metazoa, Chordata, Actinopteri, Cypriniformes, Cyprinidae.
AUGCCCGAGCUGUCAUGUAUUGUCAGGGAGAAAGCAGACAGUGGAGACCGUGAGAAAAGCAACCCGUGAGAGGAGCCAGACGAGAAACAGGGACGGCUAGACAAUAGGGGUACACAUUUCUAAUUAAGAUUCUUUGUGUCAGCUGACUCACAUAUAUAUAUACAUGCUUCCUGGUGUGGGGCAUUUUGGGAUGUUUUGUUAAGGUUAUGACAUACAGACCUCGUUCAAAGCAUCUGCCUUGUCUUCAAGAGGUUGCCAUGGAGAUGACUUUGCUGUAAUGGACCCCAGAAAAUGAGCGCAGCCCUUCCGUCGGCUUUGUUCAACCUGUGUUGACUUCCCAAACCCGCCUAGCCAAACUACACUUAGCUGGAAUGGAUGAAUGUGGCAGAGGAAACUCACUAGAGCAGCAUCUAUGAACAGCAUGAGCAUCGGUGAGCAAUUCUGGAGCGAUGAGGACUCGGAUGGCAACAGCGAUGGUGAGGAUUUCUUCUACGGUGCUCAGG